AUGCUGCCACUGCUGCUAGGACGAGACGAGUCGAGCUCCAGCUGCAGCCCCGGCCUUGGGAAAAGCUGCAAGCAACGGCCAAUAAAGAAAGGCAACGUCGCCUGCACAGCACAGCACAGCGAAGGCGCCAUCUCUCCCUCCAGCCUGGACUGGCCCUCCCUCCCCCUCACGCGCACGCACACGGCCGCACCCAGCUCCUCCUCCGCUCUCUCUGCGCCCUCUGCCUCUCCCCAGGCUCGCUCGCUCGCGGAGAGAGAAAGCGAGAGGCGAGGGAGGUGGGAGAUCACAGAUCAGGAGGCUUUUGUUUGGUCGAGAGACCACAAGCUCCACCACGGCCCAAUCACCGAGCCUCUGCCUUCUUUAGGCGCGCUCCCCUCCCACGGUGGAGGCCGAAUCAUCUCCUCUCUGCCUCCCUCGACCCACUUCGGCAUCUGCCGGGCCGGGAUCGAUACCGCCGCCACCGCAUAA
RNAcentral lists this ribosomal RNA (468 nucleotides) under Triticum aestivum (bread wheat). RNAcentral's name for it is "partial small subunit ribosomal RNA". The record is from RNAcentral. Lineage: Eukaryota; Viridiplantae; Streptophyta; Magnoliopsida; Poales; Poaceae.